This 468-nucleotide ribosomal RNA is filed under the name uncultured bacterium. RNAcentral's name for it is "partial 16S ribosomal RNA". It matches the Rfam family "Bacterial small subunit ribosomal RNA", at positions 28 to 507 of the family's 1533-position model. The record is from RNAcentral.
GACGAACGCUGGCGGCGUGCUUAACACAUGCAAGUCGAACGGAAAGGCCCUGCUUUUGUGGGGUGCUCGAGUGGCGAACGGGUGAGUAACACGUGAGUAACCUGCCCUUGACUUUGGGAUAACUUCAGGAAACUGGGGCUAAUACCGGAUAGGAGCUCCUGCUGCAUGGUGGGGGUUGGAAAGUUUCGGCGGUUGGGGAUGGACUCGCGGCUUAUCAGCUUGUUGGUGGGGUAGUGGCUUACCAAGGCUUUGACGGGUAGCCGGCCUGAGAGGGUGACCGGCCAAAAUGGGACUGAGAUACGGGCCAGACUCCUACGGGAGGCAGGAGUGGGGAAUAUUGCACAAUGGGCGGAAGCCUGAUGCAGCAACGCCGGGGGCGGGAUGACGGCCUUCGGGUUGUAAACCGCUUUCGCCUGUGACGAAGCGUGAGUGACGGGAAUGGGUAAAGAAGCACCGGCUAACUACGUG